CCGGGGCAGCGGGCGGCCGAAGGCACUUCCCCCGGACGGGCGGGCGGCCUCGCGCCGGAGCCCGCGCCCCGCACUGGUCUCAUCAAGGCGGCGCACGGUGCACCCAGGAGCAGAUGCCGUGCAUCCCUUCUGGAGUUUCUAGGGAGGAAUCCAGGCCUUUGCCUUUUCCGACUGCUGGAGGGCGCUGCAUUCCCGCUGAUAGCCCCAGGUUGGCAGAACUCGUCUCCUUGAAGAGGAGCCCCACAGUACCCCAACCUCUGCUUCUGCUGUCACAUCUCGUCUCACUCUGACCCUUCUAACUCUUCUAAGACCUCUGCGGUUACACUGGCCCACCUCGAUAAUCCAGGCUCAUCUUCCCAUCUCCAGGCCCUUAAUCACAUCUGCAAAGUCUGCUUCUUCCAAGUAAGCAUUUACACAGGAAGUUCCUACAACGAGGUGCUUGCCAGUCACCCUUCCCCAGAUCCCGAAUGCAACCCUGGCCAGGUGGCGCAGAGGACAGUCACUCUGCUGGUCAUGCUGAGCUCAUACUCUAAUGGCUGUUCCAUGAGGUCAAGACUGGGGCCCCUCCCUUCUCCCACUUUACCAAUGUCUGGUCUCAUGGGGUUAGCUUGGAGCCCAGCACGAUGGCAUCAUCAACCUCCUCCCCGGCUCCUGGCUCCAGGUCCAAGAAGCCUCUGGGCAAGAUGGCUGACUGGUUCAGGCAGGCCCUGUCGAGGAAGCCCACGAAGAUGCCCGCCUCCCCAGAAAGCGCCCUCAGUGACGUUUCACAGCCGAGCUCACUGGACAGCCCCCCAUCCCUGGGCCCCAGCUCAGAGGUGUCUCCCAUCCCUACACCGUCGCCUGGGGGCGCUAGCGGUGGCAGCGGCAGCAGCAGCAGCAACGGCCGCUGGAGCAAGGCCUAUGAUGUGUGCGUGUGCCACAGCGAGGAGGACCUGGUGGCUGCCCAGGAGCUUGUCUCCUACCUGGAGGGCGGCGCCGCCAGCCUGCGCUGCUUCUUGCAGCUUCGCGACGCCACCCCCGGCGGCGCCAUCGUGUCCGAGCUGUGCCACGCGCUCAGCAGCAGCCACUGCCGCGUGCUGCUGAUUACCCCCGGCUUCCUCCGGGACCCGUGGUGCAGGUACCAGAUGCUGCAGGCGCUGAGCGAGGCCCCCGGGGCCGAGGGCCGCACCAUCCCCCUGAUGUCCGGCCUCAGCAGAGCCGCCUACCCCGCGGAGCUCCGAUACAUGUACUUCGUGGACGGCCGCGGUCCCGAACGUGGCUUCCGCCAAGUCAAGGACGCUGUCAUGCGGUACCUGCAGACCCUUGGCUGAUGCUUGAUCCAUCACCACAGCACCCAGGAAGGACCCAGGGAAGUUGGGGAGUCCCCCCAGGAAGGCCUGGUGAGGCUGGGGACUCCCCCUGGAAGGCCUGGGGAGACCGGGGACUUCCCCAAAAAGGCCUGGGGAGGCUGGGGAUCCCCCAGGAAGGCCUGGAAGAGCCAGAAAGUGGAGGUGGGAGGAAGUGCUGAUACCAAGAUAUGGCCCACGUGAUGCCACCUGCGUGACUGGACAUGAAGCCUGGCAGGUCGUGUCUGUGUCUUCAUCCCCUGUAAUCGGGCACUGGUGUUGAGGUGCAUUCCUCUUGAAGAGGUGGCUUACCUGAGUAAGGAGCUGGAAUCCUGGACCACUUGCCUCAGCUGCGUGGUUUUCCACGGUGUCCGGGGAAGCCCUCAGCAGGCGUCAGGAAAAAGCAACAGGGAAGAUCUUCUAGGAUUUAACCUAAAUGGGGAAUAUUCAAGAGUAUCCAAUGGUCUUGGUAGAAGAUAAUGAAAUUUUCCGCCAAGGUGAUUCUGCCAAUUUCUGUUCCUACCCUGUGUGUACAAGAGUUGCCACUUUUUCAUGUUCUUGCUAACAAUUAGAAUUAUCAGGUUUUUUUAUUUUUAUGUUUUGCUGCACUACACAGCUUUUGGGAUCUUACUUCCCUGACUGAGGAUUGAACCCAGGCCCUGGCAGUGAAAGCGCUGAGUCCUAAACACUGGACUGCUAGGGAAUUACUUAGAAUUAUCAGUUUUUUAGGGCUUCUCUAGUAGCUCAGACAGUACAGCAUCCGCCUGCAAUGCAGGAGACCAGAGUUCAAUCCCUGGGUUGGAAAGAUCCCCCUGGAGAAGGCAAUAGCAACCCACUCCAGUAUUCUUGCCUGAAGAAUUCCAUGGACAGAGGAGUCUGGUGGGGGACAGUCCACAGAGUCACAAAGAGUCAGACACAACUGAGUGACUAACACAGACACACAAAAACGUCAGUUUUUUAAGUGUGUGUUAGUUUGGUGGGUGAAUACUGGUAUCCUGUUGUCAUAAUAUUCUUUCUUCUCUUUUGCCUUUAUUAUAAAAAAUAUACACUAAAAGGAAGGAGGCAAUUUGACAAAUCCCUGUAUACCUAUCACCCAGUUUCAACAAUUACCAGCUCAGAGAUAAGCUUCUAUUAACAAUAACCCUACACAUAAAUUACCUCCAGAUCCUUUGAAGCAAAACCUAGGUGUUAUUUUAUUUCUAAAUAUUUAAGUAUGUCUCUCUAAAUUAUUAGAAGUUUUUUUUAAAAAAGAUAUGACCACAAUAUAACAGUAUCUUUUAAAGAAGUUUUAUUUUUUAAUGUAAACACUGCUAUUUGCAGUUUGCGCUUUUUGUGUCUUCUUUGGGAAAUCUUCCCUACUCUUGUAUUUUCUUAUAGAAGUAUUUUACAUUUGGUUCUUUAAUCCAGCUGGAUGUCUGGAUGUUUGUUUGGGUUUGUUUUUGUUGCUCCCGAUUUGUAAGUCAGAGAACCAUUUCCCCCCAUUUGAACAGCCAGUCUUUACUGGCGUCCUUCCUCCCCCACUGACUGUGCUGUCUCUGGUGUUUCUGUCAUAUAUCACACGCCUAGGUUCUCCAGGCUCCUUCCUUCAUCUGUUCAUGUACCCUGUGUCAGUGGCACCCUGGCUUACUUACCGUGGUUGUUAGUAAACCUCAAUAAUUUACAGUCAGCUCUUCCCACUUCUUUCAUUCCUCAGAAUCACUUCAACGCUUUCCGUUCCUUUAUUCUUUCAUAUGAAUUGUUUAUUCAGUUAUUGUCAGAUUCCAGGAAUGGGCCAAUUAGUAUUUUUAUUGGACUUACAUUGAGUUGAGAGAUUAAUGUGGAAAGAAUAGAUGUUUUAAUAUUUUGUAAAAAUGUUAUAACUCCAUUUCUUUGUCUUUAAAUGUAUUUCAAUAAACUUUGUAUAAAUCUUU
RNA transcript from Capra hircus (goat), 3235 nucleotides. It is a transcript of the gene named TIR domain containing adaptor protein, with no coding region annotated. NCBI's taxonomy places the organism in Eukaryota, Metazoa, Chordata, Mammalia, Artiodactyla, Bovidae. The transcript is spliced from 7 exons. The record is from RefSeq and is a predicted model, not a curated record.